UGCCAGACUCCUACGGGAGGCAGCAGUGGGGAAUAUUGCACAAUGGGGGGAACCCUGAUGCAGCGACGCCGCGUGAGUGAAGAAGUAUUUCGGUAUGUAAAGCUCUAUCAGCAGGGAAGAAAAUGACGGUACCUGACUAAGAAGCCCCGGCUAACUACGUGCCAGCAGCCGCGGUAAUACGUAGGGGGCAAGCGUUAUCCGGAUUUACUGGGUGUAAAGGGAGCGUAGACGGCAGAGCAAGUCUGAAGUGAAAGCCCGCGGCUCAACUGCGGGACUGCUUUGGAAACUGUGCAUCUUGAGUACGGGAGGGGCAGGCGGAAUUCCUGGUGUAGCGGUGAAAUGCGUAGAUAUCAGGAGGAACACCGGCGGCGAAGGCGGCCUGCUGGACCGAAACUGACGUUGAGGCUCGAAAGCGUGGGGAGCAAACAGGAUUAGAUACCCGCGUA
Molecule: ribosomal RNA, 446 nt
Filed under: uncultured bacterium
Lineage: Bacteria
Description: bacterial SSU rRNA
Rfam family: Bacterial small subunit ribosomal RNA
Source: RNAcentral